CACAGAUCUUAGCUCAGGGCCAGGCUUCCUCAGCAAAAAGAGGAGGACUGGCAGUAGUUAGCUCAGGGCUAAUCUUCCUCAAAAACAAAAACAAAAACAAACAUUAAAUGCUCUCUUCUUUUUUAUUUGCCAACUAGUUCAUUACUUAGAACCAUCUUUGACCCUUUCCCCUUACCGUCUUCACCUUAUCAGUUACCAAUUCUACAGCCUUUCCCUCAUCCAACCCUUUUCUCUGUUGCCGUUACCAGCAACACUGUCUUUCAGGUUUUCUUUUUUCUUGAACUGCUGCAAAGACCUUCUACUGGUCUCCCAACUCAGAGCACUGCCUCCCUUUCAUGCAUCUGCCCUGCAGGGCUCUGUGCUUUCCCCCCGAGCACCUUCAGUGGACGUCCAGCAGCUGUCAAAUAAGUUUCAAGCUCCUUGGCUCGGCUUUGAAAGCUCCCCUCCCUCUGCCUCCUGCCUGUCUUUGGUGGCUUGUCUUCCACCCCGCUGCCCCUUCACUCCAGCCUAAGGAUGGUAUCUGCCCUGUUCUUGAACACCUGAUGGUCCUUCCCAACUGUGGUCACCUGUUCUGAUUCCCCCUCCCCGACCUCGGUCCAAAUCUCACCCCUUCUUCAAGGCUCACCUCAGAUGCACGUCUUCCAUGACGUCUUCUCCGAUCCCCUGGACAUAGAGACAGUUCUCAGAACUCCCACAGUGCUGUGAAACUGAUAACUAUACUGCAUUCUGCCAUGAUGAUGAGAACGAUGACGACUUCUUUGUGUGAUAGUGUCAAUAUAGCUACUAAUUAUUGAGCAUUUACUAGCUAGGCAUCUUGGGCACAUUAUGUAACUUCUCCAUGCCUCCGUUUUUCAUCUGUAAACUGGUGGUGACAGCACCUAGCUCAAAGGGUUGUUGUGAGAAUUCAUUGGAAUCAUGCCUGGCACAAAGUACCUGAUUAGUAAACAUCAGCUAUUGUUAUUACUAUGAGUAUAGGGGAGUACUUUAUAUUGUCUCAACUAACCCUCAGACCCCAUGAACUAGGAUACUAUUAAUAUAAUCUUUUUAAAAAAAUCAUGGUAAAAUAAACAUAAAAUUUGACAUCGUAAC
RNAcentral lists this long non-coding RNA (1089 nucleotides) under Equus caballus (horse). RNAcentral describes it as "lncRNA (ENSECAG00000055051.1)". The record is from RNAcentral. Lineage: Eukaryota; Metazoa; Chordata; Mammalia; Perissodactyla; Equidae.